GGGUUAAGUCCGUAACGAGCGCAACCCUUGUCCUUAGUUACCAGCACGGUUAUGUGGGCACUCUAAGGAGACUGCCGGUGACAAACCGGAGGGAAGGUGGGGAUGACGUCAAGUCAUCAUGGCCCUUACGGCCUGGGCUACACACGUGCUACAAUGGUCGGUACAAAGGGUUGCCAAGCCGCGAGGUGGAGCUAAUCCCAUAAAACCGAUCGUAGUCCGGAUCGCAGUCUGCAACUCGACUGCGUGAAGUCGGAAUCGCUAGUAAUCGUGAAUCAGAAUGUCACGGUGAAUACGUUCCCGGGCCUU
RNAcentral lists this ribosomal RNA (306 nucleotides) under uncultured Pseudomonas sp. RNAcentral describes it as "bacterial SSU rRNA". It matches the Rfam family "Bacterial small subunit ribosomal RNA", at positions 1077 to 1382 of the family's 1533-position model. Lineage: Bacteria; Pseudomonadati; Pseudomonadota; Gammaproteobacteria; Pseudomonadales; Pseudomonadaceae. The record is from RNAcentral.